This 73-nucleotide transfer RNA is filed under the name Lichtheimia hongkongensis. RNAcentral's name for it is "tRNA-Arg". Lineage: Eukaryota; Fungi; Mucoromycota; Mucoromycetes; Mucorales; Lichtheimiaceae. The record is from RNAcentral.
AAUAGAAGAUAUUAUAAAUUAAAAUCUUAUUUGUUACUUAUAUUUUACUAAAUAUAAUUAUUAGUUUCAUUUU